AGUGAACGCUGGCGGCAGGCCUAACACAUGCAAGUCGAACGGCAGCACAGUAAGAGCUUGCUCUUACGGGUGGCGAGUGGCGGACGGGUGAGGAAUACAUCGGAAUCUACUUUUUCGUGGGGGCUAACGUAGGGAAACUUACGCUAACACCGCAUAUGACCUACGGGGGUAAGCACGCGAUCUUCGGACCUUGCGCGAUUGAAUGAGCCGAUGUCGGAUUAGCUAGUUGGCGGGGUAAAGGCCCACCUAGGCGACGAUCCGUAGCUGGUCUGAGAGGAUGAUCCGCCACACGGGAACUAAGACGCGGUCCAGACUCCUACGGGAGGCAGGAGUGGGAAAUAUUGGAGAAUGGGCGGAAGCCUAUACCAGCCAUACGGCGUGGGUGAAAAAGGCCUUCGGGUUGUAAAGCCCUUUUGUUGGGAAAGAGAAGCAGCAGGUUAACACCCCGCUGUUCGAACGGUACCCAAAGAAUAAGCACCGCCUACCUUCGU
RNAcentral lists this ribosomal RNA (491 nucleotides) under uncultured bacterium. Its description in RNAcentral is "partial 16S ribosomal RNA". It matches the Rfam family "Bacterial small subunit ribosomal RNA", at positions 29 to 506 of the family's 1533-position model. The record is from RNAcentral.